This 433-nucleotide ribosomal RNA is filed under the name uncultured bacterium. RNAcentral describes it as "partial 16S ribosomal RNA". It matches the Rfam family "Bacterial small subunit ribosomal RNA", at positions 29 to 507 of the family's 1533-position model. The record is from RNAcentral.
AGCGAACGCUGGCGGCAGGCCUAACACAUGCCAGUCGAACGGAUCCUUCGGGAUUAGUGGCGGACGGGUGAGUAACACGUGGGAACGUGCCCUUUGGUUCGGAACAACUCAGGGAAACUUGAGCUAAUACCGGAUGUGCCCUUCGGGGGAAAGAUUUAUCGCCGUUGGAGCGGCCCGCGUCUGAUUAGCUAGUUGGUGAGGUAACGGCCCACCAAGGCGACGAUCAGUAGCUGGUCUGAGAGGAUGAUCAGCCACACUGGGACUGAGACACGGCCCAGACUCCUACGGGAGGCAGCAGUGGGGAAUCUUGCGCAAUGGGCGAAAGCCUGACGCAGCCAUGCCGCGUGAAUGAUGAAGGUCUUAGGAUUGUAAAAUUCUUUCAGCGGGGACGAUAAUGACGGUACCCGCAGAAGAAGCUCCGGCUAACUUCGUG